RNAcentral lists this unclassified non-coding RNA (222 nucleotides) under Hevea brasiliensis (rubber tree). Lineage: Eukaryota; Viridiplantae; Streptophyta; Magnoliopsida; Malpighiales; Euphorbiaceae. The record is from RNAcentral.
UUUUGGUUGGUAAUUUGAAAUGGAGGAGGUCUUAAUGCAAAACCAGAUUAGUCUCAUGGAUAAAGCAGGCAAUGUGGUUUUGGACGUUGAGAGCCUCGCACAACUCUCAGAUAAAUGUUGCUCUGGAAGCCCAAAAAUGACCAGAGUUCUAUCUCGCAAGGGCUCAUGUCGAAUGGAGAGGCGUGGCAUUGAGGAGCAAGAAGCAGAUGAGGCAUCGAAAAA